UACAGAGGUCCCGAGCGUUGUUCGGAUUCAUUGGGCGUAAAGGGUGCGUAGGCGGCGAGGUAAGUCUGAUGUGAAAUCCCGGGGCUCAACCCCGGAACUGCAUUGGAUACUGCCUUGCUAGAGUACUGGAGAGGGAACUGGAAUUUACGGUGUAGCAGUGAAAUGCGUAGAGAUCGUAAGGAAGGCCAGUGGCGAAGGCGAGUUCCUGGACAGUUACUGACGCUGAGGCACGAAGGCCAGGGGAGCAAACGGG
RNAcentral lists this ribosomal RNA (253 nucleotides) under uncultured bacterium. RNAcentral describes it as "partial 16S ribosomal RNA". It matches the Rfam family "Bacterial small subunit ribosomal RNA", at positions 524 to 776 of the family's 1533-position model. The record is from RNAcentral.